UUUUUAGUUUCUGGACAUGCCAUCAAUUUAAUUGCUUGUUAUAAUUUUGCUCUGUUGAAAUUACUUCUGUUGCUUGCACCAGAUCAUACUUUGUGGUAUCCUAAUAACAGAUGUGUAGUUGCUUGCACAUCUGUUAUUCAAUUUGUCGUUGAAAGAAUCUAGUUGCAAGGAAAAAGAGCAUCUAUAGAGAAAAAUAAACUCAAAUUACAUAAAACUUCGACAAAGCAAAAAUUGAGAGAUAUUUUUAGAACAGGAAGUAAGCAUUUUGAGCAGGAAGUAAAAUCAUUUGCUGAGAUGACCCAUAAAAAAUAGCUGAAAUCUUUCUUCUCUGUAAAGAACUUGAGAUGAGGCUUUGCAAAAUUUUAAAAGUUGCUAUUUUAAAAAUCACUUGGCUCAAAAGAUUGUUCAAGUAUAUUAAUAUUUAGGGUAGAGCGGGGCUAGUUGAGCAUAGAGGCAAGUUGGGCAACUAAAAUAUAUCAAAAACUACUCAUCACAUGGCAAAACAUCUAAUGGAUAAAAGAUAGGUAUUUAGAAUGGUAAUAAAAUGCGCAUAAAUGGUUGUUGGACCCCAGUUCAGUAAGAUGCACGGACACUUUUUCGAUUUUGGGCCAAAAAAGUGAAAAAAAAAUAUUUUUACUAUUUUUCUCUUAAAUGCUUAAAAAAACAAUUAUCUGGAAUCACUUAAGUGUUUAUAUUUUAACCAAUUAUUUGGCUAUUGAUUAUAAUUAUUGAUUAUUUUUUAUAACCUAACUGAUGUGUCACCUUGUCUAGUAGGGGCAAGUUGAGCAGAUUUAUAAAAUAUCAUAUUUCAUUUA
Molecule: long non-coding RNA, 815 nt
Organism: Hydra vulgaris (swiftwater hydra)
Lineage: Eukaryota; Metazoa; Cnidaria; Hydrozoa; Anthoathecata; Hydridae
Source: RefSeq, a predicted model, not a curated record